Molecule: ribosomal RNA, 467 nt
Filed under: uncultured bacterium
Lineage: Bacteria
Description: partial 16S ribosomal RNA
Rfam family: Bacterial small subunit ribosomal RNA
Source: RNAcentral
GACGAACGCUGGCGGCGUGCUUAACACAUGCAAGUCGAACGGAAAGGCCCUGCUUUUGUGGGGUGCUCGAGUGGCGAACGGGUGAGUAACACGUGAGUAACCUGCCCUUGUCUUUGGGAUAACUUCAGGAAACUGGGGCUAAUACCGGAUAGGAGCUCCUGCUGCAUGGUGGGGGUUGGAAAGUUUCGGCGGUUGGGGAUGGACUCGCGGCUUAUCAGCUUGUUGGUGGGGUAGUGGCUUACCAAGGCUUUGACGGGUAGCCGGCCUGAGAGGGUGACCGGGCACAUGGGCACUGAGAUACGGCCCAGACGCAUACGGGAGGCAGGAGUGGGGAAUAUUGCACAAUGGGCGGAAGCCUGAUGCAGCAACGCCGCGUGCGGGAUGACGGCCUUCGGGUUGGAAACCGCUUUCGCCUGUGACGAAGCGUGAGUGACGGUAAUGGGGAAAGAAGCACCGGCUAACUACGU